UGCCAGACUCCUACGGGAGGCAGCAGUGAGGAAUAUUGGUCAAUGGGCUUACGCCUGAACCAGCCAAGUCGCGUGAGGGAAGACUGCCCUAUGGGUUGUAAACCUCUUUUGUCAGGGAGCAAUUGGCGCUACGUGUAGCGUUAUCGAGAGUACCUGAAGAAAAAGCAUCGGCUAACUCCGUGCCAGCAGCCGCGGUAAUACGGAGGAUGCGAGCGUUAUCCGGAUUUAUUGGGUUUAAAGGGUGCGCAGGCGGAGGUGCAAGUCAGUUGUCAAAUUGCGGGGCUCAACCCCGUACUGCCGUUGAAACUGCAUCCCUUGAGUGCGCGAGAAGUAUGCGGAAUGCGUGGUGUAGCGGUGAAAUGCAUAGAUAUCACGCAGAACUCCGAUUGCGAAGGCAGCAUACCGGCGCGCAACUGACGCUCAUGCACGAAAGCGUGGGUAUCGAACAGGAUUAGAUACCCCCGUACAG
RNAcentral lists this ribosomal RNA (469 nucleotides) under uncultured bacterium. RNAcentral's name for it is "bacterial SSU rRNA". It matches the Rfam family "Bacterial small subunit ribosomal RNA", at positions 329 to 793 of the family's 1533-position model. The record is from RNAcentral.